Molecule: ribosomal RNA, 253 nt
Filed under: uncultured bacterium
Lineage: Bacteria
Description: partial 16S ribosomal RNA
Rfam family: Bacterial small subunit ribosomal RNA
Source: RNAcentral
UACGGGGGGGGCAAGCGUUGUUCGGAAUUACUGGGCGUAAAGGGCGCGUAGGCGGUUCUUCAAGUCAGAUGUGAAAUCUCCGGGCUUAACCCGGAAAAGUCAUUUGAUACUGUUGGACUAGAGUGUGGAAGAGGCUAUCGGAAUUCCGUGUGUAGCGGUGAAAUGCGUAGAUAUACGGAGGAACACCAGCGGCGAAGGCGGAUAGCUGGGCCAACACUGACGCUGAAGCGCGAAAGCCAGGGUAGCAAACGGG